GACACAGCAGGGCCUGCUGGGCACGGCGGCCGGGGUCCUGCUCAGCAUCCUCCUCCUGGGCGCCGUCCUCGCCGUCCUCGCCGUCCGCCGCUUCAAGGCGCUGCUGCUGGAGGCCAGGGCCGAGCAGAGCCGCAGCAGCUAUCGCCGUUUCUGCCGCCUGGACGAUGUCUCUGCCCAGUACUGGUCCGGCUCGGGGCUGCCCUCGGCCAGCUCGCUGGACAACCCGGCCUUCAGCAACUCGGAGGAGCUGCUGCAGCUCCGGGUCCUGGACAGCGGCUGCCAGGGGGACUCGGCUGUCACCAACGGUGCCAAGCGGGGCCCGGCGCCCUGCGCCCACCCGCAGUGCCAGCCCAGUUUCCAUUACGACUGGGACACCAGCUCCAGCAGCAUGAAUGACCCCAUGGUGGACUCGGGGAAAGCCAGCGACAUCUCCGUGUCGAGCUGGCCCAUGGAGCCCAUCCAGUGGGCUCCCUUCCCUCUCCUCCACCAGCUCUCCAGGCAGCGACCGCGCAAGGCCCGCUGGCCGCAGUCGUUCUGCGAGGGGCUGGAGCUGGGCACCCUGGAGCGGAGCUGGACGGCCUGAGGCCACGGACAACGGACAGCAACGAGGUUCAGCUUUAAAACCAACCACAUUUUAUUUCCACGUAACGAGCUCAGUGAAGGAAUUCCACACACUUGGACGAUACAAUCAACACGGGUGUGAUGUCAGUGAUGUCAGUCCCAGCGGGGCGGGGGCCCGGCGAGCCCCUGCCCCGGUUCCUGUCCGGGCCUCGCACGCUCUGGCUGGGACUGCGGACUCCAGAGCAGGCAGAUACAGAGAGGUGUCAGGACACACAGUGCUGGCAUCCACCAGGUCAGGACUUACAGGGGCAGUCCGGGCAGAAAGGCUGGCGGCUCCGGAGGGCGCGUGGCGCUCGGGCCAGGACGAGCUCAGCCACACCGCGGGGAGAUGCACGAAAGCGCUGCUGCGUCGUUCAUCACCAUUCAUGUCAAUGAGGUAUAAACACCAGGAUGUUGUAAGCAUUAAAGUUUAUUUUCCAAAAUGCUCUCCUUAUUCGCACGUGUCCUCUGGAGCAUCGAGCUGGGCACAAAUGGUGGGGGCUGGAAAUGGGGCGCUGCACGGAGGGAGAGGGCAACGGGGUCCCAAAGGUGCUCGGAUAGAAAAGGAAAAGCAAGCUGCAGUUCUACACUUAGACUCUCAUAGUCUCAGAGGGGGCACGUUGAGGGAGAUUUUUGCUAGAAUAAAAUGCAGAUCUCUUCAUAAAAAAAUCAGUUUGCUAAAAGAAAAUUCAACCUAUGGGAAUACAGAGCUAUCGGAUCGGUCGAUAUUCUCAUCGUAUAGAAAACAGCCUACAAAUAAAGUCACAAAAAAUAGACAGUUAUAUGCUGAGCAGCCAAAAACAUCAUGA
Molecule: long non-coding RNA, 1409 nt
Filed under: Cyanistes caeruleus (blue tit)
Lineage: Eukaryota; Metazoa; Chordata; Aves; Passeriformes; Paridae
Description: lncRNA (ENSCCEG00000023184.1)
Source: RNAcentral